Molecule: ribosomal RNA, 490 nt
Filed under: uncultured bacterium
Lineage: Bacteria
Description: partial 16S ribosomal RNA
Rfam family: Bacterial small subunit ribosomal RNA
Source: RNAcentral
AUUGAACGCUGGCGGCAGGCCUAACACAUGCAAGUCGAACGGUAACAGGAAGAAGCUUGCUUCUUUGCUGACGAGUGGCGGACGGGUGAGUAAUGUCUGGGAAACUGCCUGAUGGAGGGGGAUAACUACUGGAAACGGUAGCUAAUACCGCAUAACGUCGCAAGACCAAAGAGGGGGACCUUCGGGCCUCUUGCCAUCGGAUGUGCCCAGAUGGGAUUAGCUAGUAGGUGGGGUAACGGCUCACCUAGGCGACGAUCCCUAGCUGGUCUGAGAGGAUGACCAGCCACACGGGAAGUGAGACACGGUCCAGACUCCUACGGGAAGCAGCAGUGGGGAAUAUUGCACAAUGGGGGCAAGCCUGAUGCAGCCAUGCGGCGUGUAUGAAGAAGGCCUUCGGGUUGUAAAGUACUUUCAGCGGGGGGGAAGGGAGUAAAGUUAAUACCUUUGCUCAUUGACGUUACCCGCAGAAGAAGCACCGGCUAACUCCGUG